ACAUUGGUGGUUGUCUGUCGG
RNAcentral lists this non-coding RNA (21 nucleotides) under Arabidopsis thaliana (thale cress). The record is from RNAcentral. Lineage: Eukaryota; Viridiplantae; Streptophyta; Magnoliopsida; Brassicales; Brassicaceae.